AUCCAAAUCUACAGUUGAUAGAAUUUAAUCAAACACCCUAAUUAACUAAUUCACUAUAUUCCUAUGUGAAUUACAAUUAACGAGGAUUUAAAGCACAUGUUCCCUUAUUAGAUUACAUGCGGCGUAAAGGCAUAUCCCUAUCCUAAACACAAAUCAUGAAUUCCAUCAUCAUGCAGAAAACACAAUCACAUGCUAUUAUGAUCAGAUCUAAAUUUAUAUUUCAUCUCCCGAAUUCAUAUAAAUUAUCAUAGUAAUUGUUAGCUAGACAAUUAAACAAUUAUACACAAUUAUAAUAGACAAACCAUAGAAUAGAUCACAAUAAUUAACAGAGAAGCAUACUAAAAUAAGUUAUGCAAUAAGAUCCGUUGCAAUCUUAAACAAAAAUUUAGUCCAUUGUCAUUGAAUUAAAAUCAAGAAUCCACAACUGAAUAGACAUUAAAAGAUAAAAGUAAAAGUAGAGGAAAUAAUGAAAUCUGUUGUCUGCAAAUCUGAUGCUCCCCUCUUGCUCCUACUCUUGAUCUUCAAUGAUCCUCCGGUUGUUUCAAUCUCCAACAAUCCAAUAUAAACUAGGGUUUAUGUUCUAAUCUAAUGGAGUGUUUUUUCUAAUCUAAUCUAUCUAAUCCCCCUUUAUUUUAUGCCUCAAACAUGUAUUUAUAGGCUACAAGUCCAAUUUCUAGUUUAGGAGGAAACCCAAUCCAAUUUGAAGUCAAAAAGGUAUCAAAAGUAGCCCCAAAACGCGUCCCAACUUGAUUUGGCCCGACCCCAGCGCCCCGGUGUUGCUUACGGCACUGGAAAUCUGCCUUCCAGUGCCCCGGCGCUGUAAAUGCACUAGAAAUGGGCGCCCCGGCGCUGUGCUCUUUUCGAAAAAUGGCCAUAACUUCUUCGGCCGAACUCUGAUUUCGAUGAUUCAAGAUGUUCCGGAAAGAGGAGACGUAGAUCUACAACUUUCAUUCUUUGAGUUUUUCGAAAUAAGGGCUGGAGCAAUGCUGAAAUUGGCCCUGAAGUGAGUGUUAUGUAAAUGGCAAUCCGAAAAUGCGAAUCUAGCAACCUCAAACGUCGAUCCAAGUAAUUUUUCUCCCAAUUCCUACAAAACAACGUAAAACAUGCAUGAAUAGAUACAAAUACUUAAAAACUUUCAAAAGAUUAAGCUCAAACACACUCAAUUCAUGGGUACAAAACUCACUCAUCAAAUACCCCCAAACUUAAACAUUUGCUUGUCCUCAAGCAAAAACACAAAAGACUUAAAAAUAAACAAACUAACUCAACUACAUGAAUGCAUAUGCAUGAUCUACUUCCUAAUAUACCUAUGAAUCUUGUAAUAAAUCAGUAUGAUAUAUAGCAAAAGGCCUCAAAGAUACCAAUGAUACUCAAACAAUAUAUCCAAUCAAGUCAAAGUUCAUAACUCUAACCAGUCAGUCAAUUCAAACCUGUCAUCACCCAUGUUGUGCGUGUGUGCUUGUUAACCAUUCUAACCAACCACAGUUCAAGAUAAUCACAUAACAAACUUUUUAGAAGGAAAAGUUCCAAUUCAAUUACUUCUGUGAACAUGACAACUUCGGUUAAAACUAAGCAAUUACCAAGUCUAAGGGUAAAUACAGAAUUUAUUUCUACCUUUAUUCAACCACGAGGGCAUUUUUGUUGUUUCUCGUUUUUUUUACAAUUGACUAUGCAAUGUCUAGUUCUCUUAGGCUUUUUAGUGCUACCCAUUAGCGAGCUUUCGACCAACGACUCCCAAACCGUCAGGCUUUAGGGCGCUAGGUGUAGAGACAUCCCCUCGGGCGUACUUACUCAAGUAACAAAGGCCACAUAACCAAACUAUUCAAUGUAUUUAUUUUUAUAUAUAUAUAUAUAUUUAGAUUUUCUAUUUUUUCCCCUUUUCACUUUUUUUUUUCAAUAUAUAUACCCCAUAGAUUCCCUCAAACUCAAGAUUUUACGUCAUUCCAACUUUUACUGCCAGUUCACUAAUUUCCAUAAAUUUUAACUAAGAUUUUCCCCCAGAAACAAAUUAUGAAACCCUUGAACCAAUUGGAUUAAAACAGUUAAACUUUAAGUGCUAACCGGUUACAUAAGUUUUAGACGGGCUCAUUCAUGUUUAAAAUUAGAACUCAUCAUCAAUUAUCAACACUGUUCAAGAUAACAUGCAAAACCAAUCAUAUCAUAGGCCGAGCUACGACCACACCAACCGAUCACACAGAUUCAUGGAAAAAAAUGCAAUUAUACUACAUGAACACAUACUAAUGCAAUACAUAUAUGAAUAUGCAAUUAACUACCAUGUAUUAUAUGCACACUAAUGCAAAAACACAAUGCUAACACGUAAAAAUAACGAACUACAAUACAAAUAACUAACUAUAUGCAAUACGACACUAAAAUGCUCCAAACUUGAACUAGACAUUGUCCUCAAUGGCUGAAAUAGGAAAAAGUAAAGCAGAGGACUUCCCUGAAAAUAUAGUAAUCUUCCUCCUUGUCCGCUAAGUUUGGAGAAUAGGCUAGGCACAUGGAACAAAUUGGGCACCACAUUUGAAUUUGACUUGAAUAACCUGUAAACCCACAAUAGAAGCAAUUUUAUUAAAUUAUAAAUAAAUGCAAAUUCAAAGCUACUAAUAUAAAACCUAAUAAAAACUAAAACUAAAAAUUAAACUUGGGUUGCCUCCUAAUAAGCGCUUGUUUUAUAGUGUCAGCCUGACUUCUUCAAUUCUCUAUCCAAUUCCUUUACGAAAAUUGAGGAACCCUCCAUCCAUCAGUAAUAAUGUCUCUUUUGAUAGGUUUCCAUUAGUAAUGACCAUUGAAUUAAAGUCACCUAGCAUGCUCUUUGUAGAUAAGUUCCCCAUUAAGAACGUCCAACAACUAGGUGUUUUCUCCAUUAUGUCUAUGAUCAUAUUACGACAUUGAAACUUAAUAAACAGAAUGGGAUCUUCCUCUAUCUUCUCCUUUUCAUCCCACCAUGACUCCACAGUUGUACUAAUUCUUACGUCACAAAGAGCUUUGCCGACGACAUGACUACCAAUUGGGUAUGGCUUUGCAAAACUGCCCGGAUUCUUGAACUUUGGUGGAGGAUGCACAUGGGAUACUAAUGAAAUCGGCUUAUCUUCGUUGAAGCUUACAGUUAAAUCUUCGUCAAUAUCCAUUUCUUGGUUCCCAAUUGUUUCCUCUCUUUCAACAUCUUGUGGCUCAUCCAGUUGUAGAUUUUGUUCGGGCUCUCCAUCAAUUUCGGAAUCCAUGUCAUAGAGCCAAGUGUAUUGAGGACAAAUGUUCGAGGCAUUGACUAGUUGUUCUGCAAAAUUUUGACUCGAUAUCUCUUGACGAAUCCUCCUCUCCUCACUUGAAGCUAUGAACUUUGACAGAAUUUCCUCUAAAUUUAGAUUUUCUUCCUGUUGUAGUGGAGGUGGACAUGAGAACUUCGGUGGGUAUGUUGGACUUGGAGCAUAAAAUUGAUCUUGAUGAGUAUGGCUCCAUGAAAAAUCUGGGUGAUACUCCCAAUCCUGCUGAUAGUUGUUGGGAUAGACAUAAUUGUUAGGGUAAUCAACGCCAUACUGUACCGGCUCGAAACUGAUGACACAUUGAUGACUCAGAUGAUUUUCAGCACAAUAAUCACAAGUAAUCGCCACACUUUGACGAUCACAAGUAAUUGCCACACUUUGACGACGUGCUGCAAAAGCGUCUAAUCUCCUCGAAAGUGUCUCAAUCUGUGCUGAUAAUGCAGAAAGUGUCGCGAGUCCAUCAAUCUUCGCUCCCCUUGGCUGAGUUAUUCUUGUAUACGACCAUUGAUAAUUAAAUUCCGCCAUGGUACCUGAAAAGAAAGAAAAAUAGAAAGAGAAUUAAAUUAGAUAAAAAUAAAUAAAAACACAUUUAAAUUAAAACUAAAUUGAUAAAAAUUAAUAUUGGCAAAUAUUAUUAAAUUAAUUCUCCGACAACGACGCCAAAAACUUGUUGAUUGAUUUCACAAUCAAAACAUACGUGCAAGUAUACACGGUCAACAAGUAAUAAAGUAAAAGUAGAGUAUCGUUCCCACGAGGAAUUAUUUAAUAAAAAUCACCAAGUACUAGUUCUUAACCAAACUAAUUUUAUUUAAACAAUCGAUUUAAUGUUGUGAAUUAAAAUAUAUAAUUAAACUACUACUGCUACCAUUAGUUGAAAAUCAGGUUAUGGAGAUUUAAGAUCACAACUUCACUUAUUGUUUCACUUAUAUUAAAAUACUUCUUAUUAAUUAUGCCCACUAGUUUGGAUUGUUAAUCAGGGACUUAUUAGUAUUUAUAACCACCUUCCGAUGCAUCACAAACAUAUUAAUCCAAAUCUACAGUUGAUAGAAUUGAAUCAACCACCCUAAUUAACUAAUUCACUAUAUUCCUAUGUGAAUUACAAUUAAAGAGGAUUUAAAGCACAUGUUCCCUUAUUAGAUUACAUGCGGCGUAAAGGCAUAUCCCUAUCCUAAACACAAAUCAUGAAUUCCAUCAUCCUGCAGAAAACACAAUCACAUGCUUUUAUGAUCAGAUCUAAAUUUAUAUUUCAUCUCCUGAAUUCAUAUAAAUUAUCAUGGUAAUUGUUAGCUAGACAAUUAAACAAUUAUACGCGAUCAUAAUAAACAAACCAUAGAAUAGAUCACAGUAAUUAACAGAGAAGUAUACUAAAAUAAACUAUGCAAUAAGAUCCGUUGCAAUCUUAAACAAGAAUUUAGUUCAUUGUCAUUAAAUUAAAAUCAAGAAUCCACAACUGAAUAGACAUUAAAAGAUAAAAGUAAAAGUAGAUGAAAGAAUGAAAUCUGUUGUCUGCAAAUCUGACGCUCCCAUCUUGCUC
Molecule: long non-coding RNA, 4791 nt
Filed under: Panax ginseng (ginseng)
Lineage: Eukaryota; Viridiplantae; Streptophyta; Magnoliopsida; Apiales; Araliaceae
Description: long non-coding RNA (PGIN_LNC011190)
Source: RNAcentral